Molecule: long non-coding RNA, 504 nt
Organism: Mya arenaria
Lineage: Eukaryota; Metazoa; Mollusca; Bivalvia; Myida; Myidae
Exons: 3
Source: RefSeq, a predicted model, not a curated record
GUUUUGGCGCAUUUUAUUUCUUUGGUUUUAACUGAGAUCUGGAGUCAUUUCCAUAGAGCAUUUCUAUGUUUGAAGUAACCAGUUUCAUAGUUAUCACGGAUGUGAGCUGAGAGAUACAGAGGUUGCCAGUGAGAACACUCAGUUCCAUAAACUUUGUGUAGAAUCAUCAGAUUCAACUGUAAUGAACUGGAGCCAUUGUAAUAUAUGUGAAUCGUAUAAACAGUAAAAACUCGAAAGCACUAGUCUUUGUUAGUCAACACCGCACACUAAUCGGACAAUUGCUACGAACCACGGCUUGGUCUUGCCUCAUAAUAUAUUGACUAUUAUAGACCUUCACAAAGGUCAGGGGUAAAGGUCGAACCAUUAUAAUGGCGCCCAACGUGAUUUUUAGUGUGCUAUUGACUAGAGGUGCUGAUAACACUAUUACAUGAAUGCUACGGCAACGGAUAAUAUACCACAAUUAUUAGUUACAUUCCAUUGGAUUUAUGGAUUACCAAUUCACAA